UACGGAGGGUGCAAGCGUUGUUCGGAAUUAUUGGGCGUAAAGGGCGCGUAGGUGGUUGUGAUAGUCAGAUGUGAAAUCCUUCGGCUCAACCGAAGAACUGCAUCUGAAACUUCAUAGCUCGAGUACAGGAGAGGGAAACGGAAUUCCCGGUGUAGAGGUGAAAUUCGUAGAUAUCGGGAGGAACACCAGUGGCGAAGGCGGUUUCCUGGCCUGAUACUGACGCUGAGGCGCGAAAGCGUGGGGAGCAAACAGGAUUAGAUACCCUGGUAGUCCACGCGGUAAACGGUGAACACUAGGUGUGGGAGGUGUAAUACCUUCUGUGCCGAAGCUAACGCGUUAAGUGUUCCGCCUGGGAAGUACGGCCGCAAGGUUGAA
This 375-nucleotide ribosomal RNA is filed under the name uncultured bacterium. Its description in RNAcentral is "bacterial SSU rRNA". It matches the Rfam family "Bacterial small subunit ribosomal RNA", at positions 524 to 898 of the family's 1533-position model. The record is from RNAcentral. RNAcentral also lists the same sequence under 1 other name.